Non-coding RNA from Galeopterus variegatus (Sunda flying lemur), 1527 nucleotides. NCBI's taxonomy places the organism in Eukaryota, Metazoa, Chordata, Mammalia, Dermoptera, Cynocephalidae. The record is from the annotation of a RefSeq genome assembly.
AUGCAGGCCACGGCACCUACCAGAGGACCCAGCACUUCAGAGUCCACCCGACCCCCUUCUGUGUAUCCCUUGGCUUCCUGCUGCAAAGGCACCACUGCCUCGGUGACUCUGGGCUGCCUGGCCAUGGGCUACUUCCCAGAGCCAGUGACCAUGACCUGGGAUGAAGAAGCCUCCCUGAGCAAGAGCGCUGUGACCUUUCCCUCUGUCACCACCUCCGGCCUCUACAUCACCACCAGCCUGGUCACUGCCUCAGGUGCACAGGCCAAGCAGAAGUUCACCUGCAGAGUGGUGCACGCUCCCUCUGCAGCCCACAUCAACAAGACCUUCGAAGCGUGCUCCGUCACCUUCACCCCGCCCACCGUGAAGCUCUUCCACUCCUCCUGCAACCCCCGCGGGGACUCCCAUUCCACCAUCCAGCUCCUAUGCCUCAUUUCUGGCUACACCCCAGGUGAAAUCGAGGUCACUUGGCUGGUGGACGGGCAGAACAUCACCAACAUGUACCCGUACACCACCCAGCCCAAGCUGGAGGGCAAGCUGGCCUCCACCCAAAGUGAUCUCAACAUCACCCAGGGCCAGUGGGUGUCCGAAAGCACCUACACCUGCCAGGUCGCCUACCGCGGCAGCACCUUUGAGGACAGUGCUCGGAGAUGCGUAGAUUCCAACCCGCGAGGCGUAAGCAUCUAUCUGAGCCCACCCAGCCCUCUCGACCUGUAUGUCCACAAGUCACCCAAGAUCACCUGUCUGGUGGUGGACCUGGCCAGCAAGGAAGGUGUAAGUCUGGUCUGGUCCCGGGACAGUGGGAAGCCCGUGACUGUGGGCCCCCUGGUGACCAAGGAUCAGUACAAUGGGACAGUCACUGUCACGUCCACAUUGCCGGUGGAUGCCACAGACUGGACUAGGGGUGAGACCUACCAGUGCAGGGUGUCCCACCCUGACCUGCCCAGGGACAUCGUGCAGUCCAUCUCCAAGGCCUCCGGCAACCCUGUCUCCCCUGAAGUCUACGUGUUCCUGCCACCUGAGGAGGAGCAGGCGAACAAGCGCAAGGUCACCCUUACGUGCCUGGCCCAGAACUUCUUCCCCGCGGACAUCUCUGUGCAGUGGCUGCGAGAGAAGGUGCAGAUCCAUGGUGACCAGUACAGCACAACGUGGCCCGUCACGGCCAACAGCUCCAGCCCCACUUUCUUCGUCUUCAGCCGCCUGGAGGUGACCUGGGCAGACUGGGAGCAGAACAAAGAAUUCACCUGCCGCGUGGUCCACGAGGCACUGCCCGGCAAUAGGAUCCUCGAGAAACCGGUGUCUAAAAAACCUGAGCUGGACCUCCAGGACCUGUGUGCAGAAGAGGCUUCCAGUGAGGAGCUGGACGGGCCGUGGACCAGCCUCUGCAUCUUUGUCGCCCUCUUCCUGCUCAGCGUGAGCUACAGUGCCACCGUCACCCUGGUCAAGGUGAAGUGGGUCCUGUCGGCCGUGCUGCAGGGGGGCCCACAGGCCUCCCAUGACUACGCCAACAUCCUCCAGCCAGGUGCCUAG